This 77-nucleotide transfer RNA is filed under the name Pseudomonadales bacterium. RNAcentral describes it as "tRNA-Asp". It matches the Rfam family "tRNA". Rfam says of the family: Transfer RNA (tRNA) molecules are approximately 80 nucleotides in length. Their secondary structure includes four short double-helical elements and three loops (D, anti-codon, and T loops). Further hydrogen bonds mediate the characteristic L-shaped molecular structure. tRNAs have two regions of fundamental functional importance: the anti-codon, which is responsible for specific mRNA codon recognition, and the 3' end, to which the tRNAs corresponding amino acid is attached (by aminoacyl-tRNA synthetases). tRNAs cope with the degeneracy of the genetic code in two manners: having more than one tRNA (with a specific anti-codon) for a particular amino acid; and 'wobble' base-pairing, i.e. permitting non-standard base-pairing at the 3rd anti-codon position. Lineage: Bacteria; Pseudomonadati; Pseudomonadota; Gammaproteobacteria; Pseudomonadales. The record is from RNAcentral.
GCAGCGGUAGUUCAGUUGGUUAGCAUACCGGCCUGUCACGCCGGGGGUCGCGGGUUCGAGUCCCGUCCGCUGCGCCA